UUGAAUCCUAUGAUCAUCACCAUAUGCAACAAUUAUAAUUUUCAGAUCUGAAAACUAACUGAUUAUAUCAUGACAUAGAUUGCUGAUCAUGCUAAUCAUGAUUCUAAACUUUGUAAUCUCAUUAACAACGCAAUUAGAAUCAUCAUUUUAUCACAUAAAAAUCAGCAUGCAAAAAUCAGCACCCCUGAAAAAUCUGCAUGCAGAAAUUUUCAGCAUGCAUGAUCAUUCAAUUUUCAGAUCUAAUAAGCCUUUAGAUAAUUAAUUCUUACCUUA
Molecule: long non-coding RNA, 273 nt
Filed under: Phoenix dactylifera (date palm)
Lineage: Eukaryota; Viridiplantae; Streptophyta; Magnoliopsida; Arecales; Arecaceae
Description: long non-coding RNA (PDAC_LNC019838)
Source: RNAcentral